This is a long non-coding RNA of Piliocolobus tephrosceles (Ugandan red Colobus), 1554 nucleotides long. The record is from Ensembl. Lineage: Eukaryota; Metazoa; Chordata; Mammalia; Primates; Cercopithecidae.
CACACACGUCCCAGUGUGCCCGCGUGUCGGAGUCUGUGCACGCGCACAUGUGUGUCGGGCUCUGUUGUGCCUGCACAUGCGUGUCGGGCUCCAUGCACACAUGCGUGUCGGCGUCUGUGCGUGCGCACACGCCUGUCAGGGUCUGUGUGCCCACACAGGCACCUCAACGGCUGAACACACUAUGUAUGGGGGGGGUCUGUCGUCGCUCACAUACGUGUAGGGGUCUGUGCGCACAUGCGCGUCCGGCUCUGCUGCCGCUUGCGCGCUCCGGCAGCUCAAAGCGCGAGGCCCCGCCUGGGUCCGGGGUGCGCAUGCGCGCUGGCCUCCCUGGGCGGUGGGACCCAGCGUAUGACGUACUUGCGUGGGAGUACGAGGCUGACGCGCGGCCUUGUCCCCGUAACUGUGACACAGGUGCACGCGAGCGUCAUUGGGGGCGAUGGGGGGCGUGCUGGGUGCGUGUUUGCACCAGUGACGCAGCCGCUGCAUCGCCGCCAGUCCGCACAGGCCAGCAUCCUUCAGGAAAAGCACCCCCGAGGAGGAAGAGCAAUCGUUAAACAUCUUAAAGGGUCAGGUGAGUAUCCCUUUUUUUUUUUUUAAAUUAAAUGAUAUGUGUUUGUAAGACUUAAGACCAAACAUUAAAUGUAGAUGACCAAGAUUUGAGUCCUGUUUCUGCCUGUUAGCUUUUUGAGCCUUCUGAAGAUAGGCUUGUGAGGAGGGUGAAAUGCAUUAACAUGUGUAAAACCAUAGACCCGCACCCCGGAGUGUGAGUGCGCAGUGAGUGCUGCUGUUAUGUGCUGAGUCUGGAUGUCGGUACAUCAGGAGCAAUGUAUAUAUGAAGGUAACUGAGAUGGGUGUUUGCAAGUUCACAAAAUGAACCACAGCCUCAAAUGGUCUAGAACUGUUAUCCUUAACCUGAGGGCCUUCCAUAAAGUGAACCAAUUUUGUAAAAUACAAAAAUUAGCUGGAUCUGGUGGUGCAUGCCUGUAAUCCCAGCUCCUCAGGAGGCUGAGGCAGGAGAAUCACUUCAACCUGGGAGGCUGUGAACCUGUGAUGAGCUGAGAUCACGCCACCACACUCCAGCCUGGGUGACAGAGCAAGACAUUGUCUCCAAAAAAAGCUUUGUGACUAAAUGUGUGGGGAGAAGCAAGCUGUUGUAGUGGACAUCAGUUGGUGUCCUGCAGUUCAAUUCUGACACCGUCUACCUGGAUAUGGCAUCAGAUUCCACAGGUUGUGAGCAAGACUGUCCCACUCUGCCCCACUAGCCACAAGACCAGGCCUCUGGGACAUCUUGCUAACCCUCCGCAGGUUGGGGUUCUUUUUUUUUUUUUUUUUUUUUUUGUUGUUGUUGUUGUUGUUGUUGAGACGGAGUCUCGCUCUGUCGCCCAGGCUGGAGUGCAGUGGCCGGAUCUCAGCUCACUGCAAGCUCCGCCUCCCGGGUUCACGCCAUUCUCCUGCCUCAGCCUCCCAAGUAGCUGGGACUACAGGCGCCCGCCACCUCGCCCGGCUAGUUUUUUGUAUUUUUAGUAGAGACCGGGUUUCACUGUGUUAGCCAGG